GUGGUAUCCUGUCUGAAUAUGGGGGGACCAUCCUCCAAGGCUAAAUACUCCUGACUGACCGAUAGUGAACCAGUACCGUGAGGGAAAGGCGAAAAGAACCCCGGCGAGGGGAGUGAAAAAGAACCUGAAACCGUGUACGUACAAGCAGUGGGAGCACGCUUAGGCGUGUGACUGCGUACCUUUUGUAUAAUGGGUCAGCGACUUAUAUUCUGUAGCAAGGUUAACCGAAUAGGGGAGCCGAAGGGAAACCGAGUCUUAACUGGGCGUUAAGUUGCAGGGUAUAGACCCGAAACCCGGUGAUCUAGCCAUGGGCAGGUUGAAGGUUGGGUAACACUAACUGGAGGACCGAACCGACUAAUGUUGAAAAAUUAGCGGAUGACUUGUGGCUGGGGGUGAAAGGCCAAUCAAACCGGGAGAUAGCUGGUUCUCCCCGAAAGCUAUUUAGGUAGCGCCUCGUGAAUUCAUCUCCGGGGGUAGAGCACUGUUUCGGCAAGGGGGUCAUCCCGACUUACCAACCCGAUGCAAACUGCGAAUACCGGAGAAUGUUAUCACGGGAGACACACGGCGGGUGCUAACGUCCGUCGUGAAGAGGGAAACAACCCAGACCGCCAGCUAAGGUCCCAAAGUCAUGGUUAAGUGGGAAACGAUGUGGGAAGGCCCAGACAGCCAGGAUGUUGGCUUAGAAGCAGCCAUCAUUUAAAGAAAGCGUAAUAGCUCACUGGUCGAGUCGGCCUGCGCGGAAGAUGUAACGGGGCUAAACCAUGCACCGAAGCUGCGGCAGCGACGCUGAUGCGUUGUUGGGUAGGGGAGCGUUCUGUAAGCCUGUGAAGGUGUGCUGUGAGGCAUGCUGGAGGUAUCAGAAGUGCGAAUGCUGACAUAAGUAACGAUAAAGCGGGUGAAAAGCCCGCUCGCCGGAAGACCAAGGGUUCCUGUCCAACGUUAAUCGGGGCAGGGUGAGUCGACCCCUAAGGCGAGGCCGAAAGGCGUAGUCGAUGGGAAACAGGUUAAUAUUCCUGUACUUGGUGUUACUGCGAAGGGGGGACGGAGAAGGCUAUGUUGGCCGGGCGACGGUUGUCCCGGUUUAAGCGUGUAGGCUGGUUUUCCAGGCAAAUCCGGAAAAUCAAGGCUGAGGCGUGAUGACGAGGCACUACGGUGCUGAAGCAACAAAUGCCCUGCUUCCAGGAAAAGCCUCUAAGCAUCAGGUAACAUCAAAUCGUACCCCAAACCGACACAGGUGGUCAGGUAGAGAAUACCAAGGCGCUUGAGAGAACUCGGGUGAAGGAACUAGGCAAAAUGGUGCCGUAACUUCGGGAGAAGG
This 1318-nucleotide ribosomal RNA is filed under the name Escherichia coli. Its description in RNAcentral is "partial 23S ribosomal RNA". It matches the Rfam family "Bacterial large subunit ribosomal RNA", at positions 426 to 1746 of the family's 2925-position model. The record is from RNAcentral. Lineage: Bacteria; Pseudomonadati; Pseudomonadota; Gammaproteobacteria; Enterobacterales; Enterobacteriaceae.